This 229-nucleotide ribosomal RNA is filed under the name uncultured bacterium. RNAcentral's name for it is "partial 16S ribosomal RNA". It matches the Rfam family "Bacterial small subunit ribosomal RNA", at positions 568 to 796 of the family's 1533-position model. The record is from RNAcentral.
CGCGCAGGCGGCUAUUUAAGUUGGAUGUGAAAGCCUACGGCUCAACCGUAGAACUGCAUCCAAAACUAUUUAGCUAGAGUGUGGGAGAGGAAGAUGGAAUUAGUUGUGUAGGGGUAAGAUCCGUAGAGAUAACUAGGAAUACCAAAAGCGAAGGCAAUCUUCUGGAACACUACUGACGCUGAGGCGCGAAAGCGUGGGGAGCAAACAGGAUUAGAUACCCUGGUAGUCC